This 749-nucleotide ribosomal RNA is filed under the name cyanobacterium enrichment culture clone 1_RT_1.4.3_A12-T7. RNAcentral's name for it is "bacterial SSU rRNA". It matches the Rfam family "Bacterial small subunit ribosomal RNA", at positions 1 to 797 of the family's 1533-position model. Lineage: Bacteria; Bacillati; Cyanobacteriota. The record is from RNAcentral.
UUAGAGUUUGAUCCUGGCUCAGGAUGAACGCUGGCGGUCUGCUUAACACAUGCAAGUCGAACGGGAUCCUUCGGGAUUUAGUGGCGGACGGGUGAGUAACGCGUGAGAAUCUGCCCUUAGGUUGGGGACAACAGUUGGAAACGACUGCUAAUACCCAAUGUGCCGAGAGGUGAAAGGUUAACUGCCUGGGGAUGAGCUCGCGUCUGAUUAGCUAGUUGGAGUGGUAACGGCACACCAAGGCGACGAUCAGUAGCUGGUCUGAGAGGAUGAUCAGCCACACUGGGACUGAGACACGGCCCAGACUCCUACGGGAGGCAGCAGUGGGGAAUUUUCCGCAAUGGGCGAAAGCCUGGCGGAGCAAGACCGCGUGAGGGAGGAAGGCCUAUUGGUUGUAAACCUCUUUUGAUAGGGAAGAACACAAUGACGGUACCUAUCGAAUCAGCAUCGGCUAACUCCGUGCCAGCAGCCGCGGUAAUACGGAGGAUGCAAGCGUUAUCCGGAUUUAUUGGGCGUAAAGCGUCCGUAGGUGGCAAACCAAGUCAGUUGUUAAAGCGUAGAGCUUAACUCUAUAAGGGCAAUUGAAACUGGUUAGCUAGAGUGCGAUAGGGGCAAGGGGAAUUCCCAGUGUAGCGGUGAAAUGCGUAGAUAUUGGGAAGAACAUCGGUGGCGAAGGCGCCUUGCUGGGUCUGCACUGACACUGAGGGACGAAAGCUAGGGGAGCGAAAGGGAUUAGAUACCCCUGUAGUCCU